This 497-nucleotide ribosomal RNA is filed under the name uncultured bacterium. RNAcentral describes it as "partial 16S ribosomal RNA". It matches the Rfam family "Bacterial small subunit ribosomal RNA", at positions 28 to 507 of the family's 1533-position model. The record is from RNAcentral.
GAUGAACGCUGGCGGCGUGCCUAAUACAUGCAAGUCGAGCGAACAGAUGAGGAGCUUGCUCCUCUGACGUUAGCGGCGGACGGGUGAGUAACACGUGGAUAACCUACCUAUAAGACUGGGAUAACUUCGGGAAACCGGAGCUAAUACCGGAUAAUAUAUUGAACCGCAUGGUUCAAUAGUGAAAGACGGUUUUGCUGUCACUUAUAGAUGGAUCCGCGCCGCAUUAGCUAGUUGGUAAGGUAACGGCUUACCAAGGCAACGAUGCGUAGCCGACCUGAGAGGGUGAUCAGCCACACUGGAACUGAGACACGGUCCAGACUCCUACGGGAGGCAGCAGUAGGGAAUCUUCCGCAAUGGGCGAAAGCCUGACGGAGCAACGCCGCGUGAGUGAUGAAGGUCUUCGGAUCGUAAAACUCUGUUAUUAGGGAAGAACAAAUGUGUAAUUAACUAUGCACGUCUUGACGGUACCUAAUCAGAAAGCCACGGCUAACUACGUG